Molecule: ribosomal RNA, 456 nt
Filed under: Citrobacter koseri
Lineage: Bacteria; Pseudomonadati; Pseudomonadota; Gammaproteobacteria; Enterobacterales; Enterobacteriaceae
Description: bacterial SSU rRNA
Rfam family: Bacterial small subunit ribosomal RNA
Source: RNAcentral
AAAUUGAAGAGUUUGAUCAUGGCUCAGAUUGAACGCUGGCGGCAGGCCUAACACAUGCAAGUCGAACGGUAACAGGAAGCAGCUUGCUGCUUUGCUGACGAGUGGCGGACGGGUGAGUAAUGUCUGGGAAACUGCCUGAUGGAGGGGGAUAACUACUGGAAACGGUAGCUAAUACCGCAUAACGUCGCAAGACCAAAGAGGGGGACCUUCGGGCCUCUUGCCAUCAGAUGUGCCCAGAUGGGAUUAGCUUGUUGGUGGGGUAACGGCUCACCAAGGCGACGAUCCCUAGCUGGUCUGAGAGGAUGACCAGCCACACUGGAACUGAGACACGGUCCAGACUCCUACGGGAGGCAGCAGUGGGGAAUAUUGCACAAUGGGCGCAAGCCUGAUGCAGCCAUGCCGCGUGUAUGAAGAAGGCCUUCGGGUUGUAAAGUACUUUCAGCGGGGAGGAAGGUG